UAAUUAGAUCGUGAAAUAUGCUUUCGCUUAGCAGUCAGAGCUAUUCGUUGUCUCAGCUCCUAAUGGCUGUCACAUAAGAACUAUGGAAGUGGGGUUGAGUGGACUGUAGUGAGGAGCAUGUGUUGUAAAAGAUUGCUGAUAAAAUAACAACUAAACUAUCCAAUUGGAUGCUAUUCGAGAGAUCGCAGUAUAAGUAGAAGAAGAAUAAUUAGUAAAUGUUAUUAACAUAAUCAUAAAGAAAUAAAUAUAAAAAAAAUAAAUAUAAAAAAAAUAUAGUCAGAAGCGAUGGACGUGUAUAGUGCAUGCAUUAUUCUAUGGACAUGGUUUUCGUCUUCCAACUUGGAAAGAUGUCCAACCUUUCUAUCGCGUGAACUUCUGAUAUUAAGUUAAACAAUUUUGAGCCGUUUUAACGACAAAGAGGAUAUGCUUUUGUCUUAAAAACUUAGAAAACCGGUUGGAAACGGAAGUCUCUACAAUAUUUUCACAAAUACCGCUAAUAUCGCAUUUCAAGUUAUGUAAAUCGAAAACCUAUGGAUUACACAAAUAUUCCCAAUUCGCAACUGCCAAUCAUUAAAUGACAAUG
Molecule: long non-coding RNA, 583 nt
Filed under: Ceratitis capitata (Mediterranean fruit fly)
Lineage: Eukaryota; Metazoa; Arthropoda; Insecta; Diptera; Tephritidae
Description: uncharacterized LOC110118808, transcript variant X1
Source: RNAcentral